UACGUAGGUGGCAAGCGUUGUCCGGAAUUAUUGGGCGUAAAGCGCGCGCAGGCGGUCCUUUAAGUCUGAUGUGAAAGCCCACGGCUCAACCGUGGAGGGUCAUCGGAAACUGGGGGACUUGAGUACAGAAGAGAAGAGUGGAAUUCCACGUGUAGCGGUGAAAUGCGUAGAGAUGUGGAGGAACACCAGUGGCGAAGGCGACUCUUUGGUCUGUAACUGACGCUGAGGCGCGAAAGCGUGGGGAGCAAACAGG
RNAcentral lists this ribosomal RNA (253 nucleotides) under uncultured bacterium. RNAcentral describes it as "partial 16S ribosomal RNA". It matches the Rfam family "Bacterial small subunit ribosomal RNA", at positions 524 to 776 of the family's 1533-position model. The record is from RNAcentral.